GACAGAGGGUGCAAACGUUGUUCGGAAUUACUGGGCGUAAAGCGCGUGUAGGCGGCAGGGCAAGUCGGAUGUGAAAUCCCGUGGCUCAACCACGGAAGUGCACCCGAAACUGCCCAGCUAGAGUCUCGGAGAGGAAGGUGGAAUGCUUGGUGUAGAGGUGAAAUUCGUAGAUAUCAAGCGGAACACCGGUGGCGAAGGCGGCCUUCUGGACGAUGACUGACGCUGAGACGCGAAAGCGUGGGGAUCAAACAGG
Molecule: ribosomal RNA, 253 nt
Filed under: uncultured bacterium
Lineage: Bacteria
Description: partial 16S ribosomal RNA
Rfam family: Bacterial small subunit ribosomal RNA
Source: RNAcentral